Molecule: long non-coding RNA, 628 nt
Organism: Homo sapiens (human)
Lineage: Eukaryota; Metazoa; Chordata; Mammalia; Primates; Hominidae
Product: long independently transcribed non-coding RNA 1523
Exons: 2
Source: RefSeq, marked validated
AGGGCUCUCAGGGGUCGUUCUAGGGGGAGGAGCAUCAGCACCCCGGGGCCCUGCUGGGAAAGCCAGCUUUCAGGCUCUGCUGAGACCUCCUGAAUUGGAACCUUAGGGUGGGCCUCGCCAUCGGAGUUUUAACAAGGCCUCCAGAAGAUUCUGACACUCACCAGAGUCUGAGAGACACAGCAGAGCUAGAACCCGGGCUCCAGUUUUCACCCAGGAGACAGGAGGAUUCUGGCUGGAAGGGCAGGAGGGACUGGGGUCCCCCCCAGAAGGAGCGCCCCAGGACGAUGCCACACAAGAGAGUCUUCAGAGACUGGAAAUGCUUGCCAGGGAGGAAGAACCACUUUCUGUCCUCCAUCCUCAGGAGCACAGAAGGGUGAAGCUGAGCCCACAUAGAGAAGCAUCUCAUGCUGUCUGCAGCGGCUGCAGCGCUCUCCUGGGGCAGGAGAUGCUCAAAGGUCAACAUGACUUUGAAAAGGGGCUGGGAGAAAAGCCCCCAGUGCUGGCUCUGGACUCACUAUCCCAGGGCUCUUAAAGGGCUAAACAUGACUAGAUUGUAGUGAGCCUUUCCUAACAUGCAAAGAAGCAUCCAGGGAUAAUGUCUAAAUACAGAUGUGCUAUUUCUCUCCUC